RNAcentral lists this non-coding RNA (30 nucleotides) under Rattus norvegicus (Norway rat). The record is from RNAcentral. Lineage: Eukaryota; Metazoa; Chordata; Mammalia; Rodentia; Muridae.
GGUGAAAUUGAGCCAAGAUAGGUACAUAAG